Notolabrus celidotus (New Zealand spotty) is the source of this 671-nucleotide long non-coding RNA. RefSeq lists it as uncharacterized. The record is from RefSeq and is a predicted model, not a curated record. Lineage: Eukaryota; Metazoa; Chordata; Actinopteri; Labriformes; Labridae. The transcript has 3 exons.
ACUGCAGCAUCAUGGAGUUUCUGUCCAUGUCACUGACAUUCAUUAAUGGUCCGAGGAAGAAAACAAAUCUGAUUCUUCCAAUGCGCUCUGCUGUUCCUGUUAGGUGAGUGCAGGGGAGCUUCUCGUCCUCUGUUCCCUGGACUCUAGAGACUGAACUGAUCAUCACCACAGCUGGAGCUCAGUGCAGCAACUGUUUUCAAGAGCUCAGCAGCAGCACAGGUGCAGCAUCCUGAACAGAGACAGAAGAUACCUAAUCUGUUUCUGACAGUUCAGCACCUUGGACAGCGACGGCCAAACAACUCCCAGGAUACUAGAACAGGACACUCUACGUGUACUCACCUGGAUACCAGACAUGGAUGGAUGGAUGGAUGGAUGGAUGGAUGGAUGGAUGGAUGGAUGGAUGGAUGGAUGGAUGGAUGGAUGGAUGGAUGGAUGGAUGUACACAAGUGGAAGUCUGGGGUCUUAUCUGAAGGCUCUGACUCCCUGUCAGAGCGAUGGAACAGUGGAGCUGCUUUGUGUUUGUAAUGUUGUUGGGUUUUCUAUUUUGAGUUGUAGUUACUUGUUUACACCACCAGAGAGAGUAUCCCCUAAAGAGAACACUGUGGUAACACUGCAAUGGGCUUCCUGUUGUCAGACAGAGAACAGCCUGCUGAAUAAACUCAGGUAACGUC